UACGGGGGGGGCAAGCGUUGUUCGGAUUUACUGGGCGUAAAGGGCGCGUAGGCGGUCAGCACAAGUCAGUUGUGAAAUCUCCGGGCUUAACUCGGAAAGGUCAACUGAUACUGUGCGACUAGAGUGCGGAAGGGGCAACUGGAAUUCCUGGUGUAGCGGUGAAAUGCGCAGAUAUCAGGAAGAACACCCGUGGCGAAGGCGGCUCUCUGGGACGGUACUGACGCUGAGACGCGAAAGCGUGGGGAGCGAACAGG
RNAcentral lists this ribosomal RNA (254 nucleotides) under uncultured bacterium. RNAcentral describes it as "partial 16S ribosomal RNA". It matches the Rfam family "Bacterial small subunit ribosomal RNA", at positions 524 to 776 of the family's 1533-position model. The record is from RNAcentral.